GUUAAAAAUGCAAAAAACCCACACAUGUGUUUUGUUACAGUGUGCGAUGCUGAGAUGUGAGGCAAAUAAGUUGCAUCAUUUGGGUCAGGGGAACAAGGCAGCUCCUUCACAGAGGGGAAAUAAGUAGGUCAUUGUGGAUUCCUCUCAUUGGCGCAGCUCUUUCCAAAUAGUUGCAUCUUUCCAGUCGACUUCCAGCUGCGAGUUAACUCUGAGCCUCCAUGCACCGUUCAUAUGAACAAGGAUGCCUUAAUGUGCUCAUUUACUGCUUUGAGAAUUAGAAGGGGAUCUUUGAUUUCAAACAUGCAGCUCGGUGCAGUCAGCCAAGGAAUGCUCCAGGCAAAGCUGGAGGAAGCGUGCUUGGGUCCGACUGACCCGCUUGAGGAGCGACAGUAAGGCCACAGUCUGUUCACACUCGUUCCAUCCCUUAAACCAGCCGGCGAGGACUCCCACCUGGUCACGAAACAUCAUGAUCUGUUGGCCAGGCUCACGAUACAAGACUUGACAAGAGAAAAGACUGAGGCUUAUCCAACAAAAUUGCACUCGCUUCCACUGUCACUUGAGGUUUGGCAAAGAAGAACAGCCCUUUAAGGUGUUAUUUGCUAUUAGUAGGUACCAAUGUAUUGCAUCUUUCUUCUUGGGUUUUGGAGUUGCACCUGGUGUGGGGGAAUCCCUGUACGAAGCUUUUGAGAUUGAUGUUUAGUUGGUGCUCUUCAAGUCCUCUGGCCACUUACAAAAUGUUCCUCAGCUUUCUUCCAGCAUACAGUGACUGUCCAGCUUUAGCCUUGAUGGCAUUUUCAAUAGAGAACAUCCCUUUUCUGUGAAAGGAAAGGAUGGAGAUUGUAUAAAUACAUACACAAUGAGUAGCCCCACACAGAAUUUCAGUAUUUACAAUAAGUUUAGUAAAAUUAUCCAGAUUAUUUAUGUAGAACUCAAUUUGUAAAGUAAUAUUUUCUGUAUUUUACUGGAUGGGUUAUAUGAGAGAUUUACUGUAGGUUUUGUUCAUCAAACAAGUAGAUCUAAUUGGAUUUGCAUUGUAAACCUUAAAUACAAGUAAAGAAGAUACUUAUUUACUUCAUGUGUUAAGUUUUCAACUUCUGUACUCUCAAUAAAAUUUCAUUGAAAAUCUGCUGACUGUGCAAAGAAACAGCAUAAAAGGUCCACUGCAGCUUUUAAGUCAAACCCAGUUGGAAAAAAUGUAUUUUAAAGCUGGCAAUUGGGUUUUAGAAGCUAGUUUAUGGCCCAAGCUGGUCAAAUAGCUGUUCAACCAGAUCCAAAAAAAA
Molecule: non-coding RNA, 1280 nt
Organism: Danio rerio (zebrafish)
Lineage: Eukaryota; Metazoa; Chordata; Actinopteri; Cypriniformes; Danionidae
Source: RefSeq, a predicted model, not a curated record